UUCGCCAUUUAAAGUGGUACGCGAGCUGGGUUUAGAACGUCGUGAGACAGUUCGGUCCCUAUCUGCCGUGGGCGCUGGAGAAUUGAGGGGGGCUGCUCCUAGUACGAGAGGACCGGAGUGGACGCAUCACUGGUGUUCGGGUUGUCAUGCCAAUGGCAUUGCCCGGUAGCUAAAUGCGGAAGAGAUAAGUGCUGAAAGCAUCUAAGCACGAAACUUGCCCCGAGAUGAGUUCUCCCUGACUCCUUGAGAGUCCUGAAGGAACGUUAAAGACGAUGACGUUGAUAGGUCGGAUGUGUAAGCGUAGCGAUACGUUGAGCUAACCGAUACUAAUGAACCGUGAGGCUUAACCUUACAACGCCGAAGGUGUUU
Molecule: ribosomal RNA, 369 nt
Filed under: Klebsiella aerogenes
Lineage: Bacteria; Pseudomonadati; Pseudomonadota; Gammaproteobacteria; Enterobacterales; Enterobacteriaceae
Description: bacterial LSU rRNA
Rfam family: Bacterial large subunit ribosomal RNA
Source: RNAcentral